RNAcentral lists this ribosomal RNA (496 nucleotides) under uncultured bacterium. RNAcentral describes it as "partial 16S ribosomal RNA". It matches the Rfam family "Bacterial small subunit ribosomal RNA", at positions 28 to 506 of the family's 1533-position model. The record is from RNAcentral.
GAUGAACGCUGGCGGCGUGCCUAAUACAUGCAAGUCGAGCGAACAGACGAGGAGCUUGCUCCUCUGACGUUAGCGGCGGACGGGUGAGUAACACGUGGAUAACCUACCUAUAAGACUGGGAUAACUUCGGGAAACCGGAGCUAAUACCGGAUAAUAUAUUGAACCGCAUGGUUCAAUAGUUAAAGACGGUUUUGCUGUCACUUAUAGAUGGAUCCGCGCCGCAUUAGCUAGUUGGUAAGGUAACGGCUUACCAAGGCAACGAUGCGUAGCCGACCUGAGAGGGUGAUCGGCCGCAGGGGAGCUAAGACACGGUCCAGACGCGGACGGGAGGCAGCAGCAGGAAUUCUUCGGCAAGGGGCGAAAGCCUAACGGAGCAACGCCGCGAGAGUGAGGAGGGGCUUCGGAUCGUAAAACACUGUUAUUAGGGAAGAACAAAGGUGUAAGUAACGAUGCAAGUCUGGACGGAACCGAAGCAGAAGGCCACGGCAAACUACUU